UUGUGACGGCAAAUUACCAGCUCCUGCUGAAUCCCCCAGGACCGGAAGGUAGCAAGGGUAGGCGGUUGUAGCGGUGAAUUUGCCAUUU
Molecule: non-coding RNA, 88 nt
Organism: Leadbetterella sp.
Lineage: Bacteria; Pseudomonadati; Bacteroidota; Cytophagia; Cytophagales; Leadbetterellaceae
Rfam family: Bacteroidales small SRP
About the family: The non-coding component of the signal recognition particle in Bacteroides
Source: Rfam